UUAUAUCAAAUUAAUUAAUUGGAUCAUGUGUUUUUAAUAUGAAGUUAUGGUUAUAUUUUAGUAAAUGUAUACAACAUGGUGAGUAGCCCCCAAGAAGAGCCAAAAUUAAGAUUGUAAUUCAUGUUGCUGAGAAAUCUAAAAGUAAUAAAUCAUAUUCGAAUUUUAUCUAUGACUUUUCUUGUAUGUUGUGUAUAAAAUGGAAAUUUGUUUAAUUUGAGUUUAUACACAACAUAUAUAUAUAUAUUGCUAGCUACUGGUUAUCCACUAACAGGUUAUUUUAUUAUCAAAUUCUCUAUUAGUCUGAUCAAGUAUAUUAGAGAAUAAAUAGUGGCUUACUUGAUGAAUAGACAGUGGUUUGUUUACAUCUUGCGCAUAUGCAAAUUUAGUAGAGAAGUAGGUAACACGUGACCAGAAUCAACCAAUGAGAGCCAAGUAAAUAUAAUAGAACAGUUAAAAUUGGAAUUGUGAAAGGGACAGCACGUGAAUUUAUACAAGCAUUACAUUUGUCGUUGAAUCGUACCCACCCACCAUCCCCAGGUCAUCACCAUAGGGUAGCGAUAUAUAUAGUCAUGUAUUUAAUAAAUCUUGAUCAGGUGUAAACAUGUAACUUUUAACAUAGAAUUGUAAUCAUAUAGUAAUUGAUUUUAUGUUUGAGGUCAUUGUUGGAUCUCUAUCUUAGUUUGAUGUUUUUGUUGCAUUAAACACAUGCAGUUAUAUGGGCUACUCACCACAUAUUAUGUUUGUGUUCAGGUUUAUUAUGUUUUGUUUCAACCUAUUCUAGUCACUAGUAGCUUACGGCUUUAGUUUAUUUUGUUGUAGUUUUGCAGUAUAUAUAUGUAACCAUCCAGUUCCUUUACCCUGUUCCAGGGUUUAGUUAUUUAACCUGUUCCAGGUUACCUCCCUUAGUUGAGAUGUACCCUGUUCCAGGGCUUAGUUAUAUAACCUGUUCCAGGUUACCUCCCUUAGAGAUUUACCCUGUUCCAGGGCUGAGUUAUGUAACCUGUUCCAGGUUACCUCCCUUAGUUGAGAUGUACCCUGUUCCAGGGCUUAGUUAUAUAACCUGUUCCAGGUUACCUUAAUUAGUGGAGAUUUGCCCUGUUCCAGGGAUUAAUUAUGUAACUUGUUCCAGGUUACCUCCCUUAGUUGAGAUGUACCCUGUUCCAGGGCUUAGUUAUAUAACCUGUUCCAGGUUACCUUACUUAGUGGAGAUUUGCCUUGUUCCAGGGCUUAGUUACAUAACCUGUUCCAGGUUACCUCCCUUAGUUGAGAUGUACCCUGUUCCAGGGCUUAGUUAUGUAACCUGUUCCAGGUUACCUCCCUUAAUUUGAGAUUUACCCUGUUCCAGGGUUUUCAUUACACAACCUGUUCCAGGUUACCUCCCUUAGUUGAGAUGUACCCUGUUCCAGGGCUUAGUUAUAUAACCUGUUCCAGGUUACCUUCCUUAGAGAUUUACCCUGUUCCAGGGCUUAGUUUAAUGUAACCUGUUCCAGGUUACCUUACUUAGUGGAGAUUUGCCUUGUUCAAUGGCCAUUAGAAUUCCAGGGAAUUCUUUUUCCCCAUUCAGAUAAUAACUACCUUUACAGGUUAUAUCAAAUUAAUUAAUUGGAUCAUGUGUUUUUAAUAUGAAGUUAUGGUUAUAUUUUAGUAAAUGUAUACAACAUGGUGAGUAGCCCCCAAGAAGAGCCAAAAUUAAGAUUGUAAUUCAUGUUGCUGAGAAAUCUAAAAGUAAUAAAUCAUAUUCGAAUUUUA
Long non-coding RNA from Pecten maximus, 1749 nucleotides. RefSeq lists it as uncharacterized. NCBI's taxonomy places the organism in Eukaryota, Metazoa, Mollusca, Bivalvia, Pectinida, Pectinidae. The record is from RefSeq and is a predicted model, not a curated record. The transcript is spliced from 2 exons.